This 420-nucleotide unclassified non-coding RNA is filed under the name soil metagenome. RNAcentral describes it as "partial contains 5.8S ribosomal RNA, internal transcribed spacer 2, and large subunit ribosomal RNA". The stretch from base 1 to 120 matches the Rfam family "5.8S ribosomal RNA", at positions 35 to 154 of the family's 154-position model. The record is from RNAcentral.
GAUGAAGAACACAGUGAAAUGCGAUAAGUAAUGUGAAUUGCAGAUUUCAGUGAAUCAUCGAAUCUUUGAACGCACCUUGCGCCUUGUGGUAUUCCACAAGGCAUGCCCGUUUGAGUAUCAUUAAAUCAUCAACUCUAAAACCUUUGUGGUUUUUUUAGAGCUUGGUCUUGAGGGUUUUGCAGGCUUUUUUUUUCGAGUCUGCUCCCUUUAAAUGCAUUAGCGAGACUUCCCUAUGCUGAACCGUCUCUUUGACGUGAUAAUUAUCUGCGUCGAAUUUUGGUUCUCGUUGGGCUUGCUUCUAAUCGUCUGUUAAAGACAAAACGGAUUUGGGUGCAUAUAUGCGCCUUUUUCCAAAACCUUUUUUGAUCUCAAAUCGGGUAGGACUACCCGCUGAACUUAAGCAUAUCAAUAAGCGGAGGA